GGGCGGGUAAAGCGGAGGAAUCCGCUUCCCUCCCCGAAAGUAUGAGGCCGCCGGAGGGCGGUCCGGAGCCGAGUAGGGGAGGUCCCGCCC
RNAcentral lists this non-coding RNA (90 nucleotides) under unclassified sequences. RNAcentral's name for it is "DUF3800-X RNA". It matches the Rfam family "DUF3800-X RNA". The record is from Rfam by way of RNAcentral.